RNAcentral lists this small RNA (439 nucleotides) under Pan troglodytes (chimpanzee). Its description in RNAcentral is "retained intron". Lineage: Eukaryota; Metazoa; Chordata; Mammalia; Primates; Hominidae. The record is from RNAcentral.
CUUGCAGGGCCUCGGAGGCUGCUGUGGUUAUGAGGGCAUCUCUGACUCCCCUUACUCUGGCCUCCUCUCUCCGCCACAGAGCUCCCCCAUCCAGGAAUCCACCGCUCCCGAGCUGCCUUCGGAGACCCGGGAGACCCCAGGCCCCGCCCUGUGCAGGUGACACCACUCCCUGGCCCCCUGUCCACCACCCCUGCCCGCUGUCCUUGUUCUCACCAGUGGCCUCUCUCCACAGCCCUCUGAGGAAGUCACCUCUGACCCUCGAAGAUUUCAAGUUCCUGGCGGUGCUGGGCCGGGGUCAUUUUGGGAAGGUGAGGUGGAGGGCAGGGAAUUGGGAGACCCCCCAGGUCCCUGGCUGGCCGCUAAAACCACCCCUGCCCACUGUGGUUCCAGGUGCUCCUCUCCGAAUUCCGGCCCAGUGGGGAGCUGUUCGCCAUCAAGG